RNA transcript from Cucumis sativus (cucumber), 1428 nucleotides. RefSeq lists it as uncharacterized. The transcript is spliced from 5 exons. Lineage: Eukaryota; Viridiplantae; Streptophyta; Magnoliopsida; Cucurbitales; Cucurbitaceae. The record is from RefSeq and is a predicted model, not a curated record.
UAUGAAGAGUAUGAGAAGGAAGGAAGGGUUCCUUUUCAUGGAAGAAGAUGGUGACAACAAUUCAAAGGUUUUGUUUGGAUUUGACGCUUUCUUGUGGAAUAAGGAAUCAUUUUCUCAGUGAUUCUUCGUCUUCACCUCCUUCAAACUUCAUCACCUUCAACUCUCCCUCCUUCUCUGCUACCCUCUCGCUCACGCUCACCUUCCUUCCCAAUCUCAAAGGUAUUUCCCAACACGAGAAAGAUCGGGAAUCAAGAAUGAGAUUGUUGUCACAGAGGGCUCUGGAAAGAUCAAUUCGCUAUGAAUCCGUAAUUUGCAUGGCCAAAAGAUAUGCUCCUGAGACUACAAAGAGAAAGAGGUUGAGUAGGAAGCGGGGUGGUGAUCCAGCCAAGAAAAAGAAGACAAGGAGGAAAGGGGGAGGGAAAGAUUUCAAAAUAGUCCGGCUCUCCUCAACUGCUAGGACUGGUUUUUUCUAUGCCAAGAAGAAAAGUAGGAAGGUGGCUGAUAAGAUUGAGGUCCAGAAAUAUGACCCUAUUGCAAAUCGCCAUGUUCUGUUUACUGAAGUCAAGUGAGUCAGAUUGUUCUUUGUGAUGGAUAUAUACAAAAGAUAGACAGAUAGCUGGAUGGAUAGAUAGGGAGAAAGACAAAUAAAGAAAAAAACCCUUCAACAGAGAGGCAAGAAGAUCUCAGAUCCCAAAGACAAGAGAAGAGAAGAAGGAGAAGAAGGAGAAGAAGAAGAAAAAGGUUGAAAAGGAAGAGAGAAGGAAAUAAAGAAAUGAUUUCCUAGUUUCCCAGUAGCAACUCCAGUGAAAAUCAUGACUUGCAAAUGAAGUAAAGCAAGUAAAGAGGGAGCAGCGUCAGAAACGCCUUCUUUUAUGGGUUAUCUGUUUAAUUUUAGAGAAACAAUGUCAAAUCUGGGUUUGGGAAAAAAGAUAUGGAGACAUUGUCCAUAUCAGGAGAAACCCAAAAGAGAGGGGAAAAGAUUAAGAACAGUGGCUGUUGAACAGAGAGGGCAAGAGCAGUGUACUUUACAAUAUAUAAUUGGAGAGGCAAGUAAGGGAUUGGGUGAAGCUAUUUUUUUUUUUUCUUUCUUUCUUUUUCUUUUUCUUGUUCCAGAUGAAGACAGAGAGAGCUGACUUGAGGAAAGUUUUGUGUGUUCUUUAUGGAGAAGAAGAAAAAUGCAGAGAAAAAGAGGAAAGGUUGAAAGUGGAGAUGGAAAAAAAAAUUGGGAAGCGCAGCGCAAGGACCGAUGUGAGUUUUCUAUUCUUCACGCCUACUCCAUCUUUCAUGCACGUGUUCACACCAAUUAUGUCCCUUUUUUUCAUUUUCUUUUCUAAAACAAAUAGCAAUUACGUCUAAAAUAUUAACAAAUAUUGUACCAAUACAAAAUCAUUUAAUAAAUAUAAUAAUGCCACUUCAUGAUUGACUAUA